This 253-nucleotide ribosomal RNA is filed under the name uncultured bacterium. Its description in RNAcentral is "partial 16S ribosomal RNA". It matches the Rfam family "Bacterial small subunit ribosomal RNA", at positions 524 to 776 of the family's 1533-position model. The record is from RNAcentral.
GACGGAGGAUGCAAGUGUUAUCUGGAAUCACUGGGCGUAAAGCGUCUGUAGGUGGUUUAAUAAGUCAACUGUUAAAUCUUGAGGCUCAACCUCAAAAUCGCAGUCGAAACUAUUAGGCUAGAGUAUAGUAGGGGUAAAGGGAAUUUCCAGUGGAGCGGUGAAAUGCGUAGAGAUUGGAAAGAACACCGAUGGCGAAGGCACUUUACUGGGCUAUUACUAACACUAAGAGACGAAAGCUAGGGUAGCAAAUGGG